UACGUAGGGGGCAAGCGUUGUCCGGAAUCAUUGGGCGUAAAGAGCGUGUAGGCGGCCUGAUAAGUCGGUUGUGAAAGUCAAGGGCUCAACCCUUGAAUGCCGGCCGAUACUGUCAGGCUAGAGUCCGGAAGAGGCGAGUGGAAUUCCUGGUGUAGCGGUGAAAUGCGCAGAUAUCAGGAGGAACACCGGUGGCGAAGGCGGUUCUCUGGGAAUGUCCUGACGCUGAGGAGCGAAAGUGUGGGGAGCGAACAGG
This 253-nucleotide ribosomal RNA is filed under the name uncultured bacterium. RNAcentral's name for it is "partial 16S ribosomal RNA". It matches the Rfam family "Bacterial small subunit ribosomal RNA", at positions 524 to 776 of the family's 1533-position model. The record is from RNAcentral.